GGCGAGUGAAGCGGCAACAGCUCAAAUUUGAAAUCUGGCCCCUAGGGCCCGAGUUGUAAUUUGUAGAGGAUGCUUUUGGUGAGGUGCCGCCCGAGUUCCCUGGAACGGGACGCCACAGAGGGUGAGAGCCCCGUCUGGCUGGCCGCCGAGCCUCUGUAAAGCUCCUUCGACGAGUCGAGUAGUUUGGGAAUGCUGCUCAAAAUGGGAGGUAUAUGUCUUCUAAAGCUAAAUAUUGGCCAGAGACCGAUAGCGCACAAGUAGAGUGAUCGAAAGAUGAAAAGCACCUUGAAAAGAGGGUUAAAUAGUACGUGAAAUUGUUGAAAGGGAAGCGCUUGUGACCAGACUUGGGCGCGGCGGAUCAUCCGGGGUUCUCUCCGGUGCACUUCGCCGCGUCUAGGCCAGCAUCAGUUCGUCGCGGGGGAAAAAGGCUUCGGGAACGUGGCUCCUCCGGGAGUGUUAUAGCCCGUUGCAUAAUACCCUGCGGUGGACUGAGGACCGCGCAUCUGCAAGGAUGCUGGCGUAAUGGUCACCAGCGACCCGUCUUGAAA
This 548-nucleotide ribosomal RNA is filed under the name Trichoderma sp. FSU 10147. RNAcentral's name for it is "eukaryotic LSU rRNA". It matches the Rfam family "Eukaryotic large subunit ribosomal RNA", at positions 88 to 659 of the family's 3401-position model. The record is from RNAcentral. Lineage: Eukaryota; Fungi; Ascomycota; Sordariomycetes; Hypocreales; Hypocreaceae.